AAUGAGUCGCCAAACAUCACCG
RNAcentral lists this non-coding RNA (22 nucleotides) under Arabidopsis thaliana (thale cress). The record is from RNAcentral. Lineage: Eukaryota; Viridiplantae; Streptophyta; Magnoliopsida; Brassicales; Brassicaceae.